UAGUCCUAAAUAUUGUUGCAAAUUACUUUA
Molecule: non-coding RNA, 30 nt
Filed under: Mus musculus (house mouse)
Lineage: Eukaryota; Metazoa; Chordata; Mammalia; Rodentia; Muridae
Source: RNAcentral